UUGUACUUUACAAGUAUAAUUUUGGUUGUGCAAUUCAAUCUGGCUUGAAUAGAUAUAUUGGGCGUUUAUUUUUAGUUUUUUUAUUUUUUACUAAAAAUAAUUUAAUUCUUAGUAUUUUUUAUAGAAAUGUAUAUUUGUGCCUAUAGAGUAUAAGUACUGUUAAGGAAUAAUUUAUUUAAUUUAGGAGAAUUUAUUUUUAAAGUACCUUUUGUAUCAGGGUUUAUUAAUUUAAUAAUAUUUACAAUAUUUAUCCCGAAAUUAAGAGAUAUAUUAUAAUGAUUUUUUAUGUUUCAUAAUAAUUUUUAAUUUUAAUAUAGGGGUUAUAUGCUAUUCAAUUUUAAAUAUCUGGUUUUCUAAUAUAUUAAUUUAAUUAAGAUUAACAUUUAUAGGUUGAUAUACAAAUUUAUUUUAUUCAAUUUUGUUAAUUAAGUUUAUAGGGGAUAAGCUCUAUUGAAUAUUUUAUAAUAAUAAUUUUUAAUUUAAGGGUUAUUAGGCUUGAUAACAGCCAUUAUUUAUUUCGUUUUAGUUAAUUCUUAUUUAUUUUUUAUUUAUUUUUUAUUUAAGAUUUUAUUAGAAUUUUGUGUUUAUUUAUUUAUUACAAGUAAUAAUGAUAUAAUUAGUAGUUUAGUAAUUCUGAAUUUAGGAAUUCGGCAAUUUUAAUUUCCGCCUGUUUAACAAAAACAUGUCCUAUAGUUUUAUUUAUUUUAGGUCGGGCCUGCCCAGUGAUUAUUUUUAAACGGCCGCAGUAUUUUAACUGUGCGAAGGUAGCAUAAUCAUUUGUCUUUUAAUUGAAGGCUAGUAUGAAAGGUUUGACGAGAAAUUAACUUUCUUAAUUCAGAUUUUAUGAAUUUGAUUUUUUAGUUAAAAAGCUUAAAUUAUUUUGCUAGACGAGAAGACC
RNAcentral lists this ribosomal RNA (898 nucleotides) under Scoloposcelis obscurella. RNAcentral describes it as "partial 16S ribosomal RNA". The stretch from base 653 to 823 matches the Rfam family "Bacterial large subunit ribosomal RNA", at positions 1785 to 2014 of the family's 2925-position model. The record is from RNAcentral. Lineage: Eukaryota; Metazoa; Arthropoda; Insecta; Hemiptera; Anthocoridae.